This 906-nucleotide ribosomal RNA is filed under the name uncultured bacterium. RNAcentral describes it as "bacterial SSU rRNA". It matches the Rfam family "Bacterial small subunit ribosomal RNA", at positions 28 to 934 of the family's 1533-position model. The record is from RNAcentral.
AACGAACGCUGGCGGCGUGCUUAACACAUGCAAGUCGAGUGCGCGUCCGUAGCAAUACGGAUGGCGCACGGCGCACGGGUGCGUAACACGUGGGCAAUCUGCCCUCCGAUGGGGAAUAACCCCGCGAAAGCGGGGCUAAUUCCGCAUAACAUUCCUUGGACCUCGGUCCGGGGACUCAAAGCCGUAAGGCGUCGGAGGAGGAGCCCGCGCCCGAUUAGCUAGUUGGUGAGGUAACGGCUCACCAAGGCAAUGAUCGGUAGCUGGUCUGAGAGGAUGGCCAGCCACACUGGAACUGAGACACGGUCCAGACUCCUACGGGAGGCAGCAGUGGGGAAUCUUGCGCAAUGGGCGAAAGCCUGACGCAGCGACGCCGCGUGGGGGAUGAAGCAUCUCGGUGUGUAAACCCCUUUCGACUGGGACGAAUACCUCGCAAGAGGGGUGACGGUACCAGUAGAAGAAGCCCCGGCUAACUACGUGCCAGCAGCCGCGGUAAGACGUAGGGGGCCAGCGUUGUUCGGAAUUACUGGGUGUAAAGGGUUCGUAGGCGGUGUGGCAAGUCGGGAGUGAAAUCUAUGGGCUUAACCCAUAGGCUGCUUCCGAAACUGCCGUGCUUGAGUGUGGGAGAGGCGCGUGGAAUUGCAGGUGUAGCGGUGAAAUGCGUAGAUAUCUGCAGGAACACCCGUGGCGAAAGCGGCGCGCUGGACCACUACUGACGCUGAGGAACGAAAGCUAGGGGAGCAAACAGGAUUAGAUACCCUGGUAGUCCUAGCCCUAAACGAUCAGGACUUGGGGUGCCACCCGGGUUCGGGUGUCGUCCCGGAGCUAACGCGUUAAGUCCUGCACCUGGGGAGUACGGUCGCAAGACUGAAAACUCAAAGGAAUUGACGGGGGCCCCCACAAGCGGUG